This 373-nucleotide ribosomal RNA is filed under the name uncultured organism. Its description in RNAcentral is "bacterial SSU rRNA". It matches the Rfam family "Bacterial small subunit ribosomal RNA", at positions 526 to 896 of the family's 1533-position model. The record is from RNAcentral.
CGUAGGGUGCAAGCGUUGUCCGGAAUUAUUGGGCGUAAAGAGCUCGUAGGCGGCUAGUCGCGUCGACUGUGAAAACCCGGGGCUCAACUCCGGGCCUGCAGUCGAUACGGGCUGGCUUGAGUGCGGUAGGGGAGACUGGAAUUCCUGGUGUAGCGGUGAAAUGCGCAGAUAUCAGGAGGAACACCGGUGGCGAAGGCGGGUCUCUGGGCCGUAACUGACGCUGAGGAGCGAAAGCGUGGGGAGCGAACAGGAUUAGAUACCCUGGUAGUCCACGCCGUAAACGUUGGGCGCUAGGUGUGGGGACCUAUCCACGGUCUCCGUGCCGCAGCUAACGCAUUAAGCGCCCCGCCUGGGGAGUACGGCCGCAAGGCUA